RNAcentral lists this ribosomal RNA (635 nucleotides) under uncultured bacterium. RNAcentral describes it as "bacterial SSU rRNA". It matches the Rfam family "Bacterial small subunit ribosomal RNA", at positions 872 to 1502 of the family's 1533-position model. The record is from RNAcentral.
CCUGGGGAGUACGCUCGCAAGAGUAAAACUCAAAGGAAUUGACGGGGACCCGCACAAGCAGCGGAGCAUGUGGUUUAAUUCGAAGCAACGCGAAGAACCUUACCUAAACUUGACAUACCAAUGACAGCCUUUUAAUCGAGGACUUUUACCUUCGGGUAGACAAUGGAUACAGGUGGUGCAUGGUUGUCGUCAGCUCGUGUCGUGAGAUGUUGGGUUAAGUCCCGCAACGAGCGCAACCCUUGUCGAUAGUUACCAGCAGUAAGAUGGGGACUCUAUCGAGACAGCUAAGGACAACUUAGAGGAAGGUGGGGAUGACGUCAAAUCAUCAUGCCCCUUAUGUUUAGGGCUACACACGUGCUACAAUGGUCAUUACAGAGAGAAGCGAAACUGCGAAGUCAAGCAAACCUCAAAAAGAUGAUCCAAGUUCGGAUUGUAGGCUGAAACUCGCCUACAUGAAGUUGGAGUUGCUAGUAAUCGCGAAUCAGAAUGUCGCGGUGAAUGCGUUCCCGGGUCUUGUACACACCGCCCGUCAUACCAUGGGAGUUUGGGGGGCCCAAAGUCAGCGACUCAACCGCAAGGAGAGAGCUGCCCAAGGCAAAACAAAUGACUGGGGUGAAGUCGUAACAAGGUAGCCG